GGCUCAGAGUGAACGCUGGCGGUAGGCCUAACACAUGCAAGUCGAACGGCAGCACAGUAAGAGCUUGCUCUUAUGGGUGGCGAGUGGCGGACGGGUGAGGAAUACAUCGGAAUCUACCUUUUCGUGGGGGAUAACGUAGGGAAACUUACGCUAAUACCGCAUACGACCUUCGGGUGAAAGCAGGGGACCUUCGGGCCUUGCGCGGAUAGAUGAGCCGAUGUCGGAUUAGCUAGUUGGCGGGGUAAAGGCCCACCAAGGCGACGAUCCGUAGCUGGUCUGAGAGGAUGAUCAGCCACACUGGAACUGAGACACGGUCCAGACUCCUACGGGAGGCAGCAGUGGGGAAUAUUGGACAAUGGGCGCAAGCCUGAUCCAGCCAUACCGCGUGGGUGAAGAAGGCCUUCGGGUUGUAAAGCCCUUUUGUUGGGAAAGAAAAGCAAUCGGCUAAUACCCGGUUGUUCUGACGGUACCCAAAGAAUAAGCACCGGCUAACUUCGUGCCAGCAGCCGCGGUAAUACGAAGGGUGCAAGCGUUACUCGGAAUUACUGGGCGUAAAGCGUGCGUAGGUGGUUGUUUAAGUCUGUUGUGAAAGCCCUGGGCUCAACCUGGGAAUUGCAGUGGAUACUGGGCGACUAGAGUGUGGUAGAGGGUAGUGGAAUUCCCGGUGUAGCAGUGAAAUGCGUAGAGAUCGGGAGGAACAUCCAUGGCGAAGGCAGCUACC
Molecule: ribosomal RNA, 721 nt
Filed under: Stenotrophomonas sp. 110602_136_C_C7
Lineage: Bacteria; Pseudomonadati; Pseudomonadota; Gammaproteobacteria; Lysobacterales; Lysobacteraceae
Description: bacterial SSU rRNA
Rfam family: Bacterial small subunit ribosomal RNA
Source: RNAcentral